RNAcentral lists this ribosomal RNA (447 nucleotides) under uncultured bacterium. Its description in RNAcentral is "bacterial SSU rRNA". It matches the Rfam family "Bacterial small subunit ribosomal RNA", at positions 328 to 792 of the family's 1533-position model. The record is from RNAcentral.
CUCCCAGACUCCUACGGGAGGCAGCAGUGGGGAAUAUUGCACAAUGGGGGAAACCCUGAUGCAGCGACGCCGCGUGAGUGAAGAAGUAUUUCGGUAUGUAAAGCUCUAUCAGCAGGGAAGAAAAUGACGGUACCUGAUUAAGAAGCCCCGGCUAACUACGUGCCAGCAGCCGCGGUAAUACGUAGGUGGCAAGCGUUGUCCGGAUUUACUGGGUGUAAAGGGCGUGUAGCCGGGCUGACAAGUCAGAUGUGAAAUCCGGGGGCUCAACCCCCGAACUGCAUUUGAAACUGUUGGCCUUGAGUAUCGGAGAGGCAGGCGGAAUUCCUUGUGUAGCGGUGAAAUGCGUAGAUAUAAGGAAGAACACCAGUGGCGAAGGCGGAUGACUGGACGGCAACUGACGGUGAGGCGCGAAAGCGUGGGGAGCAAACAGGAUUAGAUACCCCCGUA